CACAAAAAAAAUGCACAUCUACCACCACAGCGAUGAAACACCAAAAAAACUAUGCAAAUCCUGUCGAUUGUGUCACUUGCAAAUGGGACAUACAGUAAAACUUAAAAAGCCCACUGUACCUGUGUUGAUUUAUAGAUGUUCCUGUUAGAUUAUAAAAUCAAUCAGAGUUGAACAGAAUUUGGGAGAAACUCACCUGUGAGUACAAGUCUGGCAUCCCCCUAGAAGCACUAUCUAGUUUGUGAACUAAAUUUCCUCGGACCCUCAAAGACUUGAAG
Pelobates cultripes (western spadefoot toad) is the source of this 275-nucleotide non-coding RNA. The record is from the annotation of a GenBank genome assembly. NCBI's taxonomy places the organism in Eukaryota, Metazoa, Chordata, Amphibia, Anura, Pelobatidae.